RNAcentral lists this ribosomal RNA (465 nucleotides) under Tissierella sp. canine oral taxon 029. Its description in RNAcentral is "bacterial SSU rRNA". It matches the Rfam family "Bacterial small subunit ribosomal RNA", at positions 9 to 456 of the family's 1533-position model. The record is from RNAcentral. Lineage: Bacteria; Bacillati; Bacillota; Tissierellia; Tissierellales; Tissierellaceae.
GAGUUUGAUCAUGGCUCAGGACAAACGCUGGCGGCGUGCUUAACACAUGCAAGUCGAACGAUGAAACGGAACGGAAAUUUUCGGAUGGAAGUUCUGUGGAUUAGUGGCGGACGGGUGAGUAAUGCAUGAAGAACCUGCCUUUCACAUAGGAAUAGCCUCGGGAAACCGGGAUUAAUACCAAAUGACACUCCGAGAUCGCAUGUUUUUGGGGUUAAAGAUUUUAUCGGUGAAAGAUGGCUCCAUGUCCCAUUAGCUGGUUGGUGAGGUAACGGCUCACCAAGGCGACGAUGGGUAGCCGGCCUGAGAGGGUGAACGGCCACAUUGGAACUGAGACACGGUCCAAACUCCUACGGGAGGCAGCAGUGGGGAAUAUUGCACAAUGGAGGAAACUCUGAUGCAGCGACGCCGCGUGAGCGAUGAAGGUCUUCGGAUCGUAAAGCUCUGUCCUAAGGGACGAUAAGGACG